This 253-nucleotide ribosomal RNA is filed under the name uncultured bacterium. Its description in RNAcentral is "partial 16S ribosomal RNA". It matches the Rfam family "Bacterial small subunit ribosomal RNA", at positions 524 to 776 of the family's 1533-position model. The record is from RNAcentral.
UACGUAGGGCGCAAGCGUUGUCCGGAAUUAUUGGGCGUAAAGAGCUCGUAGGCGGUUUGUCGCGUCGGAUGUGAAAGCCCGGGGCUUAACCCCGGGUCUGCAUUCGAUACGGGCAGACUAGAGUGUGGUAGGGGAGAUCGGAAUUCCUGGUGUAGCGGCGAAAUGCGCAGAUAUCAGGAGGAACACCGGUGGCGAAGGCGGAUCUCUGGGCCAUUACUGACGCUGAGGAGCGAAAGCGUGGGGAGCGAACAGG